GUUUAUUCAUCUUCUUCUCCUCUAUAGAAUAUACCUAUGAAGGCUCAUGUAUGAAUUUUAACUAUUCUUCUACCAAGAAUUGAUUAAGUCAUGGAUGAACAACAACACGCUCUUAUCAGAUGUGGUGGAUUGUUUAUAUGGAGUUGGUGAUAUGGAGAGCGCUGGAUCAAAGUGGAGAAAAAGAGACAUCCAAAUUGUUACUGAUUACAAAGUAAAAAAUAACCUUAUGGGAAGAUUUGGGAGAGAAGCUUGCUCCUUAUUUUCACAAGAAGGAUUCUGGGCCAUAUAUUGUGAUUGUGACUUCCACAACUCUUAAAGAAUUUCAUGGAAUGCAUUGUUACAGUAAGGAGCAAAACUACAGACAUAAUAAACUAUUUUAGACGGUACUACAUUUCAUGCAAUGUAUGCUCGAAGAAGAUUACACUUGCAAAUGGUGUUUAUCCAUACCUCAACUGCAACAAAGAUUGCAAGUUUCCUUUGGUGAAGUACAAGAUACACAUACAAGUGGAAGACAAUACCGAAAAAACUACUUUUGUCUUAUUCAAUGACGUGGCCGAGAAACUCCGUGAUACAUCAGCUCACAAGUUGUUCAACAAGCUAUCAUCGUUAGAUAACAACAAUUUUUCUGCCCACACUCAAAGCCUCUGUUGGAAAGAUUUUAUUUUUAAGCUUAAAUUAAACAGUUACAAUUUGAAAGAGGGGCUUGAAAAUUUUACUGUAUCAAAGCUUUGGAUUCCAUAUGAAAAAUUGGAAUUAGAGUACAAGCUAAAGAAAGAUAAAAAGAAUUUGAUAGAGGAUGAACGUGAGCCAAAAGAUUGUGUUCCCAAAGAACUAUCCACCGAAAAGAACAGAGCACAAAAGAUGAUAGUGUUAGUGAUACGGAGGAUGAAGACAUUGACAUUGAUGGAAAAUCUCAGCAAGCUGAAGGGGUUGACUCUGAACUUUUAGAAGAAGAUAACCAAACUGAAGUUAACUUUGAUGAGGAAGUGAACAUUGUGAAAAAAAAUCUCCAGAACUUUAUUUCUCUGACUUCAAUAGGGCCACCUACUUCAGCAAAUGAUAUUUCAAGCUCCCAAAAGAAGAUGUCAAACAACGGUUUUCAGCUUUUGGUGAAGUAGAGUACUUUGCUCCAAUUCUUACACAAGUCACUAAGUAUGAACUCUACUAUGUGUUUACACUUUGCUGUCUAAUGGAUCCAAUUAAAUUCUUAUUCAACAUGAUACAGACGACCAAGGGGUACAGGAUUUCUCAAAUUUAAAACAGCUGAAUCUACUGAAACUUCUAUUUCUACUACCAGUGUUGUGGAUUGUUUAGGUGUCUUUCUAAAGGGUCGGCAAUUAAAUAUUUUAAAGGCCUUGGAUAAGAAAGUUGCUCAAGAUAAGGAGUUGCACAAGACCAAAAAUAAGGAUAAUGACCACCGUAACCUUUACCUGACAAAGAAGGGUCUUAUUUUGGAGGGCACGCCAGCUGCUGAAGGAGUUUCAGUGAGUGAUAUGUAUAAGAACAAGGGGCAAUUCUUCUGGUCCAGAUGGUACAACCAGCAGCGCAAAAUGUAGGCAUGAAAACUCUGGGUGUUCCACACCUACUGGACCUGCAACCGGGAGUUUUCCCAUAGAGUUAAGGGAAGGGGAUGGAAAACAAAUUUAAAAUAAGCAAUGAAAAGCACAUGGAGUGUCUACGCAACGGGUGUCACAUCCCUUUUUAACUCCAAAAAGAAAUUAAUUUUAUCGUUUGAAAAGGUUUUAUUAUUAAGUGAUAAAAUGUGAAAAAUUAUUUUGAAAAGGACCUUUUAUAUUCCAAACUCAGAGUCGUCACUUGGCAUAAUCCGGUGUGCCAAGUCACCUUUGAAAAAUCCUUUUCAAAAUGAUUUGACUCUUUAAAACUGGUUUGUGAACAGAGAUUCUGGCUAAGGAAUUCUAUUGAUCGAGGGGAAGGUAUUAGACACCCCUCAAUCCUGUGGUUCGACCACGGUCUCUUGGUGGAGCAUAUCAGCUAAUUUGACAUUACAAAUGUAUAAACCACACAAAACACAUAAAAAAAUCAAUCCAACACACGAAAAAAAUGAAUCCAAAAUAUAGUGUUCAGUCCAAUUAUACAGUCCCAAAAUAGAAAAAAUACAAAAACGUAAAUCCUAUCCUAAACUAAUCCUAUACUAAUGCUCUACCCGACGCCUCGGGCCUUUAUCACGAUCAUAUGCCGCCAACAUGAUACAUUGGGGCAUUCAUCGGUGAAUAAAUAAAAUGAGCCUCAGGGCAUUCCCCGGCUAAAUGAAUACAUUUAAUGAAAUACGAUAAAAAUGAAGAAAUCACUCAAACAUAAACAUUUAAACAUUUGAUGAUUAGAAUCCUGCGAGUUGCCUAACCCAAACCUAGAAUUUGCCUACUAGUUUCGGCCUAAAACAUGAUAGUAUCAACGUUCAACAUCAACAAUGAAUCAAAAUACUAUACUAUUCACUCUUAUUGACUUUUCAAUUUCCAACCCAAAACAACCAAUUUUAAUUCUCAAACUAGAUACCAUUUCAUCACAUAAUCCAUAAUCAAUCCACAAUCGAGGGAAUCAAACAAUGAAUCAAAACAACCAACAAUGCUCAUCAUCACAUAUCAACCAACACGAUAUUCAAUCCAAUGCACCAGAUAUCAUCAACAAUGAAAUAAAAAGAGGUGAAAGAGUAGAAUUGGACCUCAUUUAAAUCUUUCGAACUCAAUGUUAUUCGAAUAAAGAGAGUUCGCACCUGGAAACCUCGAAUAGAACCUCCAACAAUGAACUCCCCACUUCGACAAACCUAAAAUUUGAGUUGACCUGAUAAGCUGAUUGAGCCGUUUUAAUUAAUAAUUUUCUGAUUGGGGUUUUGGGUCAAAAAUGGGAAUUGGCGUGUGUGGGUCGCAGAUUCCUCGUGUUCAGCGAUGAUGGAGGUUUCAAUUUCUUCGGUCACUGGUUUUGCAUUUUUCGAUGAGGUUUUUUUGGUCCAAAAUUGGAGCUGGCAGGAUAUUCUCUGGCGAGAAUCUGUUGGAAUAGUAAUAGCGGAAUGCUUUCUGAUCAACACUCUCUCUCUAUUUUUAUCCCUGUCAAUAUCUCUCUCAAUUUCACUAUCUAGCUGAUUUUCUUUCCUCUCUCGCCUCACUCUCUUCUCUCUCUAUGUCUCGAUGUGUGUGUGUCUGCUGGUUAUGUAAAUUUUGGUGAGGAGGAGUGAACUCUAUUCCAUUUUUUAGUGAGCUCCCUAUAUAUGUUAAUGGUGACUGUGUGUAGUCGAUGGUGUGGUCUGUGUGUGUAUGGAAGAGACGAUGGAAUAUGUAUAUGAUGUUUUUUGUGGAGUGGAAAAAUGGAGAUUGUGAGUGUAUUUCUUGUGUGGAGAAGAAGCUGUGAGGUAUUUGUGCGUAUCGUCUAUAUGGCGUGAAUGAAAAUUAGGAGUAUAUGGAGAAGGGUCAUGCUAUUGUGUUUUGUGAUGUGGGACACGUGAGUGGUGUAGGAGUAAGGGUAUGGGGUGGUGAUGAGCUGUCCAAAAUUAAUAGAAGUGGUUAGGAUGAUUAAAACAAGAUUAAAUUUGUUAGGGAUUUUGUUAAAGGUUGUUAUUUUUUGUAUUUUUGUGGAGGUAUAAUCACGUGGGUGAGGGUGUAUGAUAAUGUGAGGUAAAAAUGAAUAAAAUGGAUUUUGGGAGGAACAAAAUUAGGUGUCUACAUCAUGCCCCCUUUUUUGGGUGUAAACACAAAGUAUUUUCAGACAAUAAAGUAGACAAUGAGACCAAAAUUUAACCCAACCAUUAUUCAAAGAAAAGAAACAGAAGGAAGAAGGGAAACCAAGUCUUGACCUAGGACAUCCUACCUACCCAAGUUAUGAGGAAAUCAGGUUACAAGUAUCUCAAAGAAUUGGAAGGAGAGGGACUAUACCGAGUUGGAGAGUUAAGUGAGGCCCUGUCGAGG
Capsicum annuum is the source of this 3917-nucleotide RNA transcript. RefSeq lists it as uncharacterized. Lineage: Eukaryota; Viridiplantae; Streptophyta; Magnoliopsida; Solanales; Solanaceae. The transcript has 11 exons. The record is from RefSeq and is a predicted model, not a curated record.